CAAACGACUCUCGGCAACGGAUAUCUUGGCUCAUGCAUCGAUGAAGAACGUAGCAAAAUGCGAUACUUGGUGUGAAUUGCAGAAUCCCGUGAACCAUCGAGUUUUUGAACGCAAGUUGCGCCCGAAGCCUUUUGGCCGAGGGCACGUCUGCCUGGGCGUCACAC
RNAcentral lists this ribosomal RNA (164 nucleotides) under Ligularia dentata. Its description in RNAcentral is "5.8S ribosomal RNA". It matches the Rfam family "5.8S ribosomal RNA". Rfam says of the family: 5.8S ribosomal RNA (5.8S rRNA) is a component of the large subunit of the eukaryotic ribosome. It is transcribed by RNA polymerase I as part of the 45S precursor that also contains 18S and 28S rRNA. The record is from RNAcentral. Lineage: Eukaryota; Viridiplantae; Streptophyta; Magnoliopsida; Asterales; Asteraceae.